This 579-nucleotide long non-coding RNA is filed under the name Canis lupus familiaris (dog). RNAcentral describes it as "lncRNA (ENSCAFG00030016639.1)". The record is from RNAcentral. Lineage: Eukaryota; Metazoa; Chordata; Mammalia; Carnivora; Canidae.
AUGGUUGCUGUGGGUGUCAUCAAAGCAGUGGACAAGGAGACAGCUGGAGCUGGCAAGGUCACCAAGUCUGAAAGCUCAGAAGGCUAAAUGGAUAUUAUCCCUGAUACCGCCACUGGGGUCUUCAUGAGUGGAAGAACAUCCCAGAACUGGCCAUUGAAGUUUAAUAAUAAAAGAAUGAUUCGUGAUAGUCAUCGUAAAACUGUCAGAAGUGAUUUAACAUGGCCCUUUAAAAAAUGCCUUGGAAGACGUGUCCACCAGCUGCUAGAUCAGAUACACGUUUUUCUUCAUCAGCUGAAGCACCAACAUCCUGGUCAAGCAUGGAUCGGCCUGGAUGGCUCCCAUUGGACAUUCCACUCCAGCUCAACCCCAGCAUCUCUUCCAGACAUGAUCCUGGUAUUUGUCCUCCAGCAUUUGCUACCUAGCACUUGGGUAAGAGAUGCUUCUAACCACCACCCCCACCACCACCACCACACACACACAUACACCAGUCUUUCAGCAUCUAUGCCAAGGGAAACUGGAAAGUUUCCAGUCUUAUCUCCUUCUGAUCUAUCCUCACUGAAGCCAGAUUCCUCUCUCUAA